Molecule: ribosomal RNA, 510 nt
Filed under: Myriophora sp. H65
Lineage: Eukaryota; Metazoa; Arthropoda; Insecta; Diptera; Phoridae
Description: partial 16S ribosomal RNA
Rfam family: Bacterial large subunit ribosomal RNA (bases 389-510)
Source: RNAcentral
UGUCUUUUAGAAAUUAAUUUAAAGUCUAGCCUGCCCACUGAAAAUUUUUAAAUGGCCGCAGUAUCCUAACUGUGCAAAGGUAGCAUAAUCAUUAGUCUUUUAAUUGAAGGCUGGAAUGAAUGGUUGGACGAAAUAUUAACUGUUUCAUAAAAAUUUAUAAUAGAAUUUUAUUUUUUAGUCAAAAAGCUAAAAUAUUAUUAAAAGACGAGAAGACCCUAUAAAUCUUUAUAUUUAAGAAGUUUAAAUUAUAUAGAAAAAUUAAAUUUAAAUUUUUAAAAAUAUUUUAUUGGGGUGAUAUUAAAAUUUAAUAAACUUUUAAUUUAUUAUUAACAUAAAUUAGUGAAUUUUUGAUCCAUUUAUUAUGAUUAAAAAAUUAAGUUACUUUAGGGAUAACAGCGUAAUUUUUUUAGAGAGUUCAUAUUGAUAAAAAAGAUUGCGACCUCGAUGUUGGAUUAAGAUAUAGUUUUAGGUGCAGCAGCUUAAACUUAAAGUCUGUUCGACUUUUAAAUU